Molecule: ribosomal RNA, 810 nt
Filed under: Microbacterium phyllosphaerae
Lineage: Bacteria; Bacillati; Actinomycetota; Actinomycetes; Micrococcales; Microbacteriaceae
Description: bacterial SSU rRNA
Rfam family: Bacterial small subunit ribosomal RNA
Source: RNAcentral
UGGAUCAGUGGCGAACGGGUGAGUAACACGUGAGCAACCUGCCCCUGACUCUGGGAUAAGCGCUGGAAACGGCGUCUAAUACUGGAUACGAGUAGCGACCGCAUGGUCAGCUACUGGAAAGAUUUAUUGGUUGGGGAUGGGCUCGCGGCCUAUCAGCUUGUUGGUGAGGUAAUGGCUCACCAAGGCGUCGACGGGUAGCCGGCCUGAGAGGGUGACCGGCCACACUGGGACUGAGACACGGCCCAGACUCCUACGGGAGGCAGCAGUGGGGAAUAUUGCACAAUGGGCGCAAGCCUGAUGCAGCAACGCCGCGUGAGGGAUGACGGCCUUCGGGUUGUAAACCUCUUUUAGCAGGGAAGAAGCGAAAGUGACGGUACCUGCAGAAAAAGCGCCGGCUAACUACGUGCCAGCAGCCGCGGUAAUACGUAGGGCGCAAGCGUUAUCCGGAAUUAUUGGGCGUAAAGAGCUCGUAGGCGGUUUGUCGCGUCUGCUGUGAAAUCCGGAGGCUCAACCUCCGGCCUGCAGUGGGUACGGGCAGACUAGAGUGCGGUAGGGGAGAUUGGAAUUCCUGGUGUAGCGGUGGAAUGCGCAGAUAUCAGGAGGAACACCGAUGGCGAAGGCAGAUCUCUGGGCCGUAACUGACGCUGAGGAGCGAAAGGGUGGGGAGCAAACAGGCUUAGAUACCCUGGUAGUCCACCCCGUAAACGUUGGGAACUAGUUGUGGGGUCCAUUCCACGGAUUCCGUGACGCAGCUAACGCAUUAAGUUCCCCGCCUGGGGAGUACGGCCGCAAGGCUAAAACUCAAAGGAA